RNAcentral lists this ribosomal RNA (492 nucleotides) under uncultured bacterium. Its description in RNAcentral is "partial 16S ribosomal RNA". It matches the Rfam family "Bacterial small subunit ribosomal RNA", at positions 29 to 507 of the family's 1533-position model. The record is from RNAcentral.
AGUGAACGCUGGCGGUAGGCCUAGCACAUGCAAGUCGAACGGCAGCACAGUAAGAGCUUGCUCUUACGGGUGGCGAGUGGCGGACGGGUGAGGAAUACAUCGGAAUCUACUUUUUCGUGGGGGAUAACGUAGGGAAACUUACGCUAAUACCGCAUACGACCUACGGGUGAAAGCAGGGGAUCUUCGGACCUUGCGCGAUUGAAUGAGCCGAUGUCGGAUUAGCUAGUUGGCGGGGUAAAGGCCCACCAAGGCGACGAUCCGUAGCUGGUCUGAGAGGAUGAUCAGCCACACUGGAACUGAGACACGGUCCAGACUCCUACGGGAGGCAGCAGUGGGGAAUAUUGGACAAUGGGCGAAAGCCUGAUCCAGCAAUACCGCGUGGGUGAAGAAGGCCUUCGGGUUGUAAAGCCCUUUUGUUGGGAAAGAAAAGCAGCAGGUUAAUACCCCGCUGUUCUGACGGUACCAAAAGAAUAAGCACCGGCUAACUUCGUG